RNAcentral lists this transfer RNA (69 nucleotides) under Gekko hokouensis. Its description in RNAcentral is "tRNA-Val". The record is from RNAcentral. Lineage: Eukaryota; Metazoa; Chordata; Lepidosauria; Squamata; Gekkonidae.
CAAGAGGUAGCUCACAUCACCUAAAGCAUUCAACUUACAAUUGAAAGACGUCCACAAAGACCUUCUUGA